GGGUGUGGGGAAGAGGUGGUUGGGCUAGCAGGUAGUGACAGUCUGGGAGUGGGGUAGAGGUGGCUGGGCUAGCAGGUAGUGACAGUCUGGGUGUGGGGUAGAGGUGGCUGGGCUAGCAGGUAUUUAACUGUCUGGGUGUGAGGUAGAGGUGGCUGGGCUAGCAGGUAUUUAACUGUCUGGGUGUGAGGUAGAGGUGGCUGGGCUAGCAGG
Long non-coding RNA from Oncorhynchus keta (chum salmon), 210 nucleotides. RefSeq lists it as uncharacterized. The transcript is spliced from 3 exons. NCBI's taxonomy places the organism in Eukaryota, Metazoa, Chordata, Actinopteri, Salmoniformes, Salmonidae. The record is from RefSeq and is a predicted model, not a curated record.